AUUGAACGCUGGCGGAAUGCUUUACACAUGCAAGUCGAACGGCAGCACGGGAGCUUGCUCCUGGUGGCGAGUGGCGAACGGGUGAGUAACAUAUCGGAACGUACCCAGUCGUGGGGGAUAACUAUCCGAAAGGAUAGCUAAUACCGCAUACGUCCUGAGGGAGAAAGCGGGGGAUCGCAAGACCUCGCGCGAUUGGAGCGGCCGAUAUCGGAUUAGCUAGUUGGUGGGGUAACGGCUCACCAAGGCGACGAUCAGUAGCUGGUCUGAGAGGAUGAUCAGCCACACUGGAACUGAGACACGGUCCAGACUCCUACGGGAGGCAGCAGUGGGGAAUAUUGGACAAUGGGCGCAAGCCUGAUCCAGCAAUGCCGCGUGGGUGAUGAAGGCCUUCGGGUUGUAAAGCCCUUUGGCGGGGACGAUGAUGACGGUACCCGCCGAAUAAGCUCCGGCUAACUCCGUGCCAGCAGCCGCGGUAAU
This 477-nucleotide ribosomal RNA is filed under the name uncultured bacterium. Its description in RNAcentral is "bacterial SSU rRNA". It matches the Rfam family "Bacterial small subunit ribosomal RNA", at positions 30 to 524 of the family's 1533-position model. The record is from RNAcentral.